This 252-nucleotide ribosomal RNA is filed under the name uncultured bacterium. RNAcentral's name for it is "partial 16S ribosomal RNA". It matches the Rfam family "Bacterial small subunit ribosomal RNA", at positions 524 to 776 of the family's 1533-position model. The record is from RNAcentral.
UACGGAGGAUGCGAGCGUUAUCCGGAUUUAUUGGGUUUAAAGGGUGCGUAGGCGGUCCGUUAAGUCAGCGGUAAAAUUGCGGGGCUCAACCCCGUCGAGCCGUUGAAACUGUCAGACUUGAGUUGGCGAGAAGUACGCGGAAUGCGCGGUGUAGCGGGGAAAUGCAUAGAUAUCGCGCAGAACUCCGAUUGCGAAGGCAGCGUACCGGCGCCACACUGACGCUGAGGCACGAAAGCGUGGGGAUCGAACAGG